GAGACACUAGUAAACCCGAAAUUACACCGCUUUGUCAAGGCGGAGUUGCAGGUUAAACUCCUGCGUGCCUCA
This 72-nucleotide transfer RNA is filed under the name Heterotis niloticus (African bonytongue). RNAcentral describes it as "tRNA-Asp". It matches the Rfam family "tRNA". Rfam says of the family: Transfer RNA (tRNA) molecules are approximately 80 nucleotides in length. Their secondary structure includes four short double-helical elements and three loops (D, anti-codon, and T loops). Further hydrogen bonds mediate the characteristic L-shaped molecular structure. tRNAs have two regions of fundamental functional importance: the anti-codon, which is responsible for specific mRNA codon recognition, and the 3' end, to which the tRNAs corresponding amino acid is attached (by aminoacyl-tRNA synthetases). tRNAs cope with the degeneracy of the genetic code in two manners: having more than one tRNA (with a specific anti-codon) for a particular amino acid; and 'wobble' base-pairing, i.e. permitting non-standard base-pairing at the 3rd anti-codon position. The record is from RNAcentral. Lineage: Eukaryota; Metazoa; Chordata; Actinopteri; Osteoglossiformes; Osteoglossidae.